AUGGGCGCAGCCUGAUCCAGCCAUACCGCGUGGGUGAAGAAGGCCUUCGGGUUGUAAAGCCCUUUUGUUGGGAAAGAAAUCCAGCCGGCUAAUACCUGGUUGGGAUGACGGUACCCAAAGAAUAAGCACCGGCUAACUUCGUGCCAGCAGCCGCGGUAAUACGA
RNAcentral lists this ribosomal RNA (164 nucleotides) under uncultured Stenotrophomonas sp. RNAcentral describes it as "partial 16S ribosomal RNA". It matches the Rfam family "Bacterial small subunit ribosomal RNA", at positions 371 to 528 of the family's 1533-position model. The record is from RNAcentral. Lineage: Bacteria; Pseudomonadati; Pseudomonadota; Gammaproteobacteria; Lysobacterales; Lysobacteraceae.